This 253-nucleotide ribosomal RNA is filed under the name uncultured bacterium. Its description in RNAcentral is "partial 16S ribosomal RNA". It matches the Rfam family "Bacterial small subunit ribosomal RNA", at positions 524 to 776 of the family's 1533-position model. The record is from RNAcentral.
UACGGGGGGGGCAAGCGUUGUUCGGAAUCACUGGGCGUAAAGGGUGCGUAGGCGGGUUUUUAAGUCAGGGGUGAAAUCCUGGAGCUCAACUCCAGAACUGCCUUUGAUACUGAAGAUCUUGAGUCCGGGAGAGGUGAGUGGAACUGCGAGUGUAGAGGUGAAAUUCGUAGAUAUUCGCAAGAACACCAGUGGCGAAGGCGGCUCACUGGCCCGGUACUGACGCUGAGGCACGAAAGCGUGGGGAGCAAACAGG